Molecule: ribosomal RNA, 374 nt
Filed under: uncultured Glomeromycotina
Lineage: Eukaryota; Fungi; Glomeromycota
Description: LSU rRNA
Source: RNAcentral
UUGAAAGGGAAACGAUUGAAGUCAGUCGUUCCAGCGGGAAAUCAACCUUUCGAGUGGGGGUUUUGGAGUUUUGAAGAGUUUCAAAACCUUUGAGAUUUCAAAAAUUUCGCUCUUUUGGUGUACUUCCUCGUGGGGUAGGUUAACAUCGAUUUUGAUCAUCAAUAAAAGAUUGGAGGAAAGUAGCUUCGAUCUUGUAUUGAAGUGUUAUUAGCUUUGGUAAAUGUGAUGAUUAGGAUCGAGGAUUGCAACGAAUUACCUCUGGGGCUAGCCGCCUGAUCUCUGAUACGUGGCCUUGGUAUCGAAAGCGUGCUUAUGGUAUUGAGGUAUUACGGUCAAAAGGUUAGAACGGAUCACAUCGUAAGGAUGUUGACGUA